GAAAGCAUUUGCCAAGGACGUUUUCAUUAAUCAAGAACGAAAGUUAGGGGAUCGAAGAUGAUCAGAUACCGUCGUAGUCUUAACCAUAAACUAUGCCGACUAGGGAUCGGGUGUUGUCCUUUUUUUGGCGCACUCGGCACCUUACGAGAAAUCAAAGUUUUUGGGUUCUGGGGGGAGUAUGGUCGCAAGGCUGAAACUUAAAGGAAUUGACGGAAGGGCACCACCAGGAGUGGAGCCUGCGGCUUAAUUUGACUCAACACGGGGAAACUCACCAGGUCCAGACACAAUAAGGAUUGACAGAUUGAGAGCUCUUUCUUGAUUUUGUGGGUGGUGGUGCAUGGCCGUUCUUAGUUGGUGGAGUGAUUUGUCUGCUUAAUUGCGAUAACGAACGAGACCUUAACCUACUAAAUAGUUCUGCUAGCAUUUGCUGGUACGAUACUUCUUAGAGGGACUACCGAUUUCAAGUCGGUGGAAGUUUGAGGCAAUAACAGGUCUGUGAUGCCCUUAGACGUUCUGGGCCGCACGCGCGCUACACUGACGGAGCCAGCGAGUAUUAACCUUGGCCGAGAGGUCCGGGAAAUCUUGUGAAACUCCGUCGUGCUGGGGAUAGAGCAUUGUAAUUAUUGCUCUUCAACGAGGAAUUCCUAG
RNAcentral lists this ribosomal RNA (648 nucleotides) under [Candida] sp. D1adMP190. Its description in RNAcentral is "SSU rRNA". It matches the Rfam family "Eukaryotic small subunit ribosomal RNA", at positions 947 to 1617 of the family's 1831-position model. RNAcentral also lists the same sequence under 1 other name. The record is from RNAcentral. Lineage: Eukaryota; Fungi; Ascomycota; Saccharomycetes; Saccharomycetales.